Molecule: microRNA precursor, 110 nt
Organism: Sorghum bicolor (sorghum)
Lineage: Eukaryota; Viridiplantae; Streptophyta; Magnoliopsida; Poales; Poaceae
Rfam family: MIR5565 microRNA precursor family
Source: Rfam
GUUAUCGGAAUUCAUUUCAAUCCAUGUGUGCUGAUGUGGGUUGGGGUGGAAUUUAGUUUAAAUUUCACACCAAUCCACCUCAACACACGUGGAUUGAUGUGAAUUCGACU